Lemur catta (Ring-tailed lemur) is the source of this 535-nucleotide long non-coding RNA. RefSeq lists it as uncharacterized. The record is from RefSeq and is a predicted model, not a curated record. The transcript has 4 exons. Lineage: Eukaryota; Metazoa; Chordata; Mammalia; Primates; Lemuridae.
GCAAGCAGACUCUGGAUGCUGGUUACACAUCAAGCUUGCCCAAAUGGAGAAGAAAGAGGGAGUGAAGCUUCAGAGCUGUCAACAGCCAAACAGCAAAAAAUGGAGUCAUAUUUCUUAUUACAAAAGACUUCUGCAGUGUCAUCUGGGGACAGACAACUGUAGGGCCAAGCAUCUCACUGAUCACUCUUUAUGGAUUUUUAUGAUAGUGGAAAUAAGGAACAGAACCUGAAAGAAUUUGUGGUUACAGCCAAAGGAGAGAGAGAUUUGGCAGAGGGCCCUGAAGCCUAGAAGCAACUACCCACGCCCCUCCCACCACCACCUAGUCAGGUUUCAGCCCUACUGAAAACUGCUAUGGAAGACAACAAGCUCUUGUUAGAUAUAUAUGUAUUGAUGGCAAGGUGGUUUCACAUUCUGGAGGAUAUGGGGGCCGAAUGCAUCAAGUAGAACGUAAAAAUGAAUGGAUGGCCAGGCGCAGUGGCUCACGCCUGCAAUCCCAGCACUUUGGGAGGAUGAGGAGGGAGGAUCGCUUGAGGCC